AUUGAACGCUGGCGGCAUGCUUUACACAUGCAAGUCGAACGGUAACGGGGGCUUCGGUCUGCCGACGAGUGGCGAACGGGUGAGUAAUAUAUCGGAACGUGCCCAGUAAUGGGGGAUAGCUCGGCGAAAGCCGGAUUAAUACCGCAUACGCCCUGAGGGGGAAAGUGGGGGAUCUUCGGACCUCACGUUAUUGGAGCGGCCGAUAUCAGAUUAGCUAGUUGGUGGGGUAAAGGCCUACCAAGGCGACGAUCUGUAGCUGGUCUGAGAGGAUGAUCAGCCACACUGGGACUGAGACACGGCCCAGACUCCUACGGGAGGCAGCAGUGGGGAAUUUUGGACAGUGGGCGAAAGCCUGAUCCAGCCAUGUCGCGUGCGGGAAGAAGGCCUGG
Molecule: ribosomal RNA, 389 nt
Filed under: uncultured bacterium
Lineage: Bacteria
Description: bacterial SSU rRNA
Rfam family: Bacterial small subunit ribosomal RNA
Source: RNAcentral